GCCCGGUUAGCUCAAUCGGUAGAGCGUGAGACUCUUAGGAUUCACGAUCUGUCAAACACGAUUGGAAUACGAUGCAAUCUCAAGGUUGCGGGUUCGACCCCCGUAAGUUCA
Non-coding RNA from Aaosphaeria arxii CBS 175.79, 111 nucleotides. NCBI's taxonomy places the organism in Eukaryota, Fungi, Ascomycota, Dothideomycetes, Pleosporales. The record is from the annotation of a RefSeq genome assembly.